Ribosomal RNA from Vulpes vulpes (red fox), 109 nucleotides. The record is from Ensembl. NCBI's taxonomy places the organism in Eukaryota, Metazoa, Chordata, Mammalia, Carnivora, Canidae.
GUCUAUGGCCAUACCACCCUGAAUGUGCCCGAUCUCGUCUGAUCUUGGAAGCUAAGCAGGGUUGGGCCUGGUUAGUACUUGGAUGGAGUACAUUAGGUGAUUGUGUAAU